Molecule: ribosomal RNA, 379 nt
Filed under: uncultured eukaryote
Lineage: Eukaryota
Description: partial 18S ribosomal RNA
Rfam family: Eukaryotic small subunit ribosomal RNA
Source: RNAcentral
CAAUAGCGUAUAUUUAAGUUGUUGCAGUUAAAAAGCUCGUAGUUGGAUUUCGGAUGGGAUUUGCCGGUCCGUCGUUACGAUGUGCACUGGCCAGUCCUAUCUUGUUGUCGGGGACUAGCUCCUUGGAUUCACUUCCUGGGACUAGGAGCUGACGAGGUUACUUUGAGUAAAUUAGAGUGUUCAAAGCAAGCCUACGCUCUGAAUACAUUAGCAUGGAAUAACACGAUAGGACUCUGGCCUAUCUUGUUGGUCUGUAGGACCGGAGUAAUGAUUAAGAGGGACAGUCGGGGGCAUUCGUAUUUCAUUGUCAGAGGUGAAAUUCUUGGAUUUAUGAAAGACGAACUACUGCGAAAGCAUUUGCCAAGGAUGUUUUCAUUGA